UUUAGGGACGGAGGGAGUAUGAAUUAUGGAAAAUUUUGCAGGAAAUUCUACCCACUAAAUUAAUAUUCAUUAUUAAGCGGUAAAACUCCCUCCAAAUUAAUAUUGAGCACAAGUAAUUUAUAAAAAUAAAAAUUAAAAAUUAAAACAGUAAAUACCUGCCUACUCAAGUCAAUCCCACGUUCUUCAUUUCAUAAUUUUAUUUUUUUUAUUUAUUUAUUUUUUUUAAUAGAAAGUCAAUUCUUCACUCCAUUCUCCAUUUUUUUUAACCAUCAACUCUCUUCUAUACACAAGUGGGAAAUCUCAAAUUCUCAGGCGAUCAAGAAUAUUUGGACAAUGAGCUCCUUCAUGAACAUUAUUAAUCAGGCCCCAUCCUCUGAAUUUGCUGCAAGGUUUCUUUGGUUAACGUCGAAUGUAUCAAGAAAAAAGCUCCUUUCCAUUACAACCCUUGCUUGGUCUGCUUGGUGGUGCAGGAAAAAGCGCAUUUUUGAGAAUGAAAGCCAGCGCCCAGUGCAAAGAGCAUCAAGCUUGCUGAAGCAUGUUGGGGAGUAUGAAGAGUAUGCUGCAAAUAAAGGUGUUCAGAGUAUAGGAGAGAUUACCAUCUACUUCUUUAAAAUCGUGGAAUUGUCCAACAGUGGGGACUGUUAAUAUCCGAGACGAGAAGGGUGAUUUGCUGGCUGCGGCUGUGCAAAAUAAGCAUGCUGGGUGGUCUCUUUCACUAGCUGAAGCUGCAGCAUGCCGCUUUGGUAUGCAACUUGCUACUAGGUUGGGAUUUAUGAGUAUCAUUGUGAAAUUUGACGCCCUGAUGGUUGUUGAUGGCCUGAUGGGGUUAAGAAGAAGCGUGGUGGUUUUGAUCCUUUGUGAAGCUGACAUUGCCUGUCAAAACUGACUGUAUUUUGGGAGUCAAAUUCUCGAAGCUUAUACCUUUCUUGUGUUCAUAUGCUCUGUUGGUGCUAUGGAGCUUUGUAGAAAAAUUAAAAGUUCUGCAAUUUCUCAUUCACAAGUUGGAUAUGUUCUCAGUAUGAUCUUUCUACCUUAGAUCUGGAUUGAUGAUGUGACACCUUUUACUAAUUUCAAGCAUUUGUGAAUUUUGUCCAUGCUACAAACAGAUUUGGGAAGAACAUGAGGCAUGCUGGUUUAUGAGUAUCAUUGUGAAUUUUGUCCAUGCUACAAACAGAUUUGUCCAUGUCUAAGCCCUUAUUUCCUUCAGGUUCUGGAUUCUCAAGUUCGGCAGCUUUUGUUUGCUCUUCUAAAAUCACUAUAAUGGAUGUUGUUGGGUUGAACUUCCCUAAGGUAUUUUAAAUUACCCGUAAUACUUUUUAUUGUUUUGUAGUAAACUAAUUAUUUCCCUUUCUAAGUCAAAGUAUGCCUAACACCGAAUGACCUUUUUUUAGAGGGCCGCUCAUGUGUACUCUGAAGCUAGAGGGCACAUGCUUUCAAGGAUACAAUGUCCUCGGAUUUGAGAUUAGCUGAAUUUAGCUAUUUGCUAGGCACUAGGAUCCUCUUUCCGCUAUAUAUUUUCUACGAAGUAUAUAUGUAGUCUUUUGGAUUCUUGUAUUUAACUAAUGCAUAGUUGUCAUUUAGCAUAAUUCUUAAAGUUAUGUGUUUGUUGGUUAUUCUCUUCUAUUAUAGUUACCUCCUAACGAGAUUGACUUUUGUUGGACAGAGCACUUGUGGGAUUUGCUGGCCUCCAAUGGUGGUUGCUAGUCCUGCUAGUGGACAUCUAUUCUAAGCAGGUUUGUUCUAAUGCAAAUGUGUUGGGUGGUGUUACUUGAUAUUUUUUUUUUUUGCAGGGUGAUGCUGACUGUCCCCUUGAGUGACUUUGGCAGAAGUAGGCUCAAAGUGGUCAGGGCAGUAUGGAUUUUAUAGAAUCACAGUGAGUGUUGAUCAAUAAGGAUUUUGGAUACUAGCUGAGGCUGGGGCUGCAGGAUAAGGUCUGUUGCUUGUGCAGUGGCUGGGACUUAUGGGUGUAGUACUAUAGUGUGAUGCGUUAUUUGUGGUUCAAGCUAUUCUUAGACACCAAGUUGGAGCUGCUCCAAUCUCUCGUCUAUGAUGAUAUUAGUAGAUUAAGUGUUGCUUUUUUAAUUCUUUCUCCCUUUCUCAUGUAAAACGAGUGGGUCAUACAAUGUGGCUUAUUGUGUAGUUUAAUGGGAUACGAGUAUUUACUAGUAGUUUAAAGGACUUUAAACUUUGGUGGAUCUUGGUAUACGUUAUUAUAUUUGCUUAUUGCUUUUUCUUUUUUCUUUUUUUUUUGCUCCAACAAUCAGUGUUUGUAGAACAAAUAGGUACUAAUAUUUAUUUUUACUCUUUGACUCUUGAGAUUAUAUAUAUUGGUCAUAAUUUUACAAGACUCACAUUCAUAAAUCUUAAGGUGUUUGGCAGUUUGGUUAGCUUAAGUUUACUUUGCAUAAAAGUAAAUUCUCAUUAUGUGUGCCACAAAAAUUAAUAUUAAUGGGGCACAAGUGUUGGAAUGAAUGCAACGGCGAAAUAAA
Chenopodium quinoa (quinoa) is the source of this 2489-nucleotide long non-coding RNA. RefSeq lists it as uncharacterized. The record is from RefSeq and is a predicted model, not a curated record. The transcript is spliced from 3 exons. NCBI's taxonomy places the organism in Eukaryota, Viridiplantae, Streptophyta, Magnoliopsida, Caryophyllales, Amaranthaceae.